RNAcentral lists this ribosomal RNA (465 nucleotides) under uncultured bacterium. Its description in RNAcentral is "partial 16S ribosomal RNA". It matches the Rfam family "Bacterial small subunit ribosomal RNA", at positions 338 to 795 of the family's 1533-position model. The record is from RNAcentral.
CCUACGGGAGGCAGCAGUGGGGAAUAUUGCGCAAUGGGCGAAAGCCUGACGCAGCGACGCCGCGUGAGGGAUGAAGGUCUUCGGAUCGCAAACCUCUGUCAGCAGGGAAGAACGGUCACUGUGUUAAUCAGUUGUGAAUUUACGGUACCUGCAAAGGAAGCACCGGCUAAAUCCGUGCCAGCAGCCGCGGUAAUACGGAGGGUGCGAGCGUUAAUCGGAAUUACUGGGCGUAAAGCGCUCGCAGGCGGUAUGUCAAGUCAAGGGUGAAAUCCCCGCGCUCAACGUGGGAACUGCCUUUGAAACUGGCAAACUGGAGUGUGUGAGAGGAUAGUGGAAGUCCAGGUGUAGGGGUGAAAUCCGUAGAUAUCUGGAGGAACAUCAGUGGCGAAGGCGACUAUCUGGCACAUAACUGACGCUGAGGAGCGAAAGCGUGGGUAGCAAACAGGAUUAGAUACCCCGGUAGUC